UACGUAGGGUGCGAGCGUUAAUCGGAAUUACUGGGCGUAAAGCGUGCGCAGGCGGUUCGUUGUGUCGGCGGUGAAAGCCCCGGGCUUAACCUGGGAAUGGCCGUUGAAACUGGCGAACUGGAGUGUGGCAGAGGGGGGUGGAAUUCCGCGUGUAGCAGUGAAAUGCGUAGAGAUGCGGAGGAACACCGAUGGCGAAGGCAAUCCCCUGGGCCUGUACUGACGCUCAUGCACGAAAGCGUGGGGAGCAAACAGG
RNAcentral lists this ribosomal RNA (253 nucleotides) under uncultured bacterium. Its description in RNAcentral is "partial 16S ribosomal RNA". It matches the Rfam family "Bacterial small subunit ribosomal RNA", at positions 524 to 776 of the family's 1533-position model. The record is from RNAcentral.